GCGACGCUUUGUGCCGUAGGGGUGUACUGCGUGUGCACCGCCCGUGGUGCCGCACAGCUUGGUUGGCGUGGCCGCUCGGUCUGGUCUGCCCUGCUUGGCCCCCGUGAACGCGUUAUGAGGUAGCUGGAUUGCGUGAAGGACAAGGAGUCGUACAGUGAGCUGUACUGGAAGGUCUGCGAGAGGCUCAGCACCUUCUUCGAGGUCAUUGUCUUUGACUUCAAGGGAAUGUCCCCCAUGACUGGCAUGUUUCCCCCCCCAGCGCAGGCUGCCCCCUCACCAGUUGUUCCUCAGGGGCCUGUGCCGUCGCCAUCCAUGUCACAGGGGACACCAGCUCCUGCCAGAUGCUCUGGGAGCGCUGGAGCCUGACAGCAUCUCGGCAAAGGAGAGAUGAGCGAGGAAGCGAGCGGGGACCCCCUGGAUGCAGAGAGGAGGAUAAAGGAGCUGCGGAGCAGAGACCAAUGGGGGCUCGGAUGGGAUGAGAGAGAGGGAAAGAGAGAUGAAGUGCCACAAGGUGCCCCAGGUAUUUGCUCUAAAGCUUUAAAAAGAGGGAACUGAAUGUAACGGAUUUUUUUACCCCUGAUAUUUACACAGCAUGCUCUAAAGUACUUUAUUUCUGUCUGGCUUUCAGUGGCGUGUUUCCUCAGCAGCCCAGUAGCAUCUCUCUCAGGCAGUGCUGCUGGCCAGAUGUCCCUCCUCGUUGCGUAGCACACAAAAAACCUUGUAGUCCAAUUAUAACUAUGUAUUUUGGAGAGAGAUAGUGUUAUGGUAUCAAUUCCCAGCUGUGGAAGUGAAAUCAGUGCCUGAAGAAAGUCAAAUACUUUUAUAGCGUAAGUAUUUUUAUUCGGUGUAUAUAAACCUAACGCACACCUUUUCACCGAAAGGGAAGGGACAAGGCAUUUCCCAACACCAGUGAGAAGGCUUACUGUUACGCUAAGAACGUGUUCAAAAUGGCAUCGGUUAGCUUUAAUCCUGACUUCAAGAGUUGAGCUGGCGCUGGCUUUUGCAGGCUGUGCUGUGUUUGGAGCUGAGCUGUUUCCCCAGAAUCCUCCUGUAGCUCAGCUCCUGUCCUGUCCCUCUGAUGGAAUUCCUCUACUCUCUUCCGGGCUAUUUUUUAAGAUACUGAGCUAUAACUGGGGAUUUUUGUUUUCCAGGUGCCUCGUUGUAGGUGUCUCGUGCUGCUCGAGAGAUGCCCCAGGCCAGGUUUGCAGCCGGUGGCGGAGCCCCUCGCCCCGAGGGGAAGGGGCCAGCCCUGGGUCUGGGCGUUUUGGGGCUUUUUUGGGGGGGAAUAGAAGGGUGUCUGUCUGUGUGUGUGUCUCGGGGGGUGAUGGUGUCAUUUGGGACACUGCAACAUCACUGGGGUUUGGGUCUCCCAAACGAGGUGGUUCACAGCCCCAAAACGUCUGAAAAUCUUGGAAUGCGUUAAAAAAAUGUGAAAACCUGUAACUAUGGGCAUGAGGCACUGAAAUAGAGAACAAUCUCUCAUUUAUAUAUGAGAAAUAUAUAUACUGAGAAAUAAUAUUAUGUAUGUAAAAUAACUUCAAAA
This is a long non-coding RNA of Chroicocephalus ridibundus (black-headed gull), 1543 nucleotides long. RefSeq lists it as uncharacterized. The transcript has 3 exons. Lineage: Eukaryota; Metazoa; Chordata; Aves; Charadriiformes; Laridae. The record is from RefSeq and is a predicted model, not a curated record.